CAUGACUGUUAUUCUUCGUUGAAAAUUGAGGUUUUGCUGUUUCUUUUUCGAUUGCUGUCUGAUCAACAACUUUAUGAUGAUUCAAAUCAUGCAAAUGGAACCAUUGGGUGGGAGUUGACUGAUGGGUUUCAGAUCAAAGAACAGAGUAAAAUAUUGAGUAUGAAAAGGAAAUUGCAAUUAUAUUAAUGAAAUCUGUGAACAAAUUACAAGUACUGCAAUGGUGGAAUGUAAAAUAACAAAGACAACAAACUGAUAACAAUAGCUAUCAGCCCCAAGAGCUCAAAGGCUCCUCCAAUCACCAAGAUGAUGACCCAUUCUUUCUAACAGAAUUCUUCCUCCUUUCUUCCCUCUCCCUGCUUCCUAAUAUAUAGUAACUAUCACAUGAAAUGCAUACACCCUGUAGCCACGUCAUCAUUCUUUUAUUCCCUUUUUCCUCCCUUAGUCUUGGGCCAAAGUCAAGGCCCACUUUCACAUUCAAGUCUCUAUCAUUGACACUUGUUACGGCUCAAAGUUCAAAUGAGAGUGCUGAAGCAGCUAGUAUAUUGGUUUGGCUGAAGCCUGUAGAGACGAUUUUGGAAGACUUGUC
Long non-coding RNA from Trifolium pratense (red clover), 586 nucleotides. RefSeq lists it as uncharacterized. Lineage: Eukaryota; Viridiplantae; Streptophyta; Magnoliopsida; Fabales; Fabaceae. The record is from RefSeq and is a predicted model, not a curated record. The transcript is spliced from 3 exons.